RNAcentral lists this unclassified non-coding RNA (401 nucleotides) under soil metagenome. RNAcentral's name for it is "partial contains 5.8S ribosomal RNA, internal transcribed spacer 2, and large subunit ribosomal RNA". The stretch from base 1 to 121 matches the Rfam family "5.8S ribosomal RNA", at positions 35 to 154 of the family's 154-position model. The record is from RNAcentral.
GAUGAAGAACGUAGCGAAAUGCGAUAAGUAAUGUGAAUUGCAGAAUUCAGUGAAUCAUCGAAUCUUUGAACGCACCUUGCGCCCUUUGGCUAUUCCGAAGGGCAUGCCUGUUUGAGUAUCAUGAACACCUCAACUCUCAUGGUUCGCCAUGAUGAGCUUGGACUCUGGGGGUCUUGCUGGCCUAUGGUCAGCUCCUCUCAAAUAAAUCAGCUUGCCAGUGUUUGGUGGCAUCACAGGUGUGAUAACUAUCUACGCUUGUGGUUUUCCAUCAGGUAACCUUCAGUGAUGGAGGUUCGCUGGAGCUCAUAAAUGUCCCUCCUCAGCGAGGACAGCUUUUUGAACGUUUGAUCUCAAAUCAGGUAGGACUACCCGCUGAACUUAAGCAUAUCAAUAGCGGAGGA